Long non-coding RNA from Hemicordylus capensis (graceful crag lizard), 463 nucleotides. RefSeq lists it as uncharacterized. NCBI's taxonomy places the organism in Eukaryota, Metazoa, Chordata, Lepidosauria, Squamata, Cordylidae. The record is from RefSeq and is a predicted model, not a curated record. The transcript has 3 exons.
GUUGGAACCAGGCAGGGGAAGCAACAGGUUGGCUGGCCAAGCCAUGGCAGCAACCAGGAACUCUGCAGGGGCCUGAAGUCUCUACCAUGGUUUUGGAAAAUCACCUUUGGAACUGCUGAGAGGACGCAAAGCUACCACCAAACCUUCCCAAUGGCAACAACUCAUAGGGCUUUCCAUGCCAUCUCACUCUGAGGAUGCAGAGAUUCAUGAUCAGGCCAUCUUUUAUGAAGAUAUCUCUUGGUAAGAAGCCUCUUAACAUGAACAUACUCAAACAGUUUAAUCCUUCAAGCCUUAAGCAUUUUACAACUAAUCGGAAGAAUGCUAAUUAUGUAAAUACCAACAAACAAAGUUAACCAAUUAGUGAAAAAAGAAUUAAAGGCAGCAUCUGGACUUAGUAAAUAAAUGCUUUUCAGAUUCUGGUUUAAGUACCCAUAUUACAUCGAUCACAGUAUUCCUAUCAGAA